AGAGUUUGAUCCUGGCUCAGGAUGAACGCUGGCGGCGCGCCUAACACAUGCAAGUCGAACGGUUAAAGCCCCUUCGGGGGUGCAUAAAGUGGCGAACGGCUGAGUAACACGUGGGCAACCUGCCCCCCGCUUCGGGAUAGCCUCGGGAAACCGUGGGUAAUACCGGAUACUCCGCCCACCCCGCAUGGGGAGGGCGGGAAAGCGCAUACGGCGGGGGAUGGGCCCGCGGCCUGUUAGCUCGUUGGCGGGGUAACGGCCCACCAAGGCUAUUAUGGGUAGCCGGGUUGAGAGACCGACCGGCCAGAUUGGGACUGAGACACGGCCCAGACUCCUACGGGAGGCAGCAGUGGGGAAUCUUGCACAAUGGGCGAAAGCCUGAUGCAGCGACGCCGCGUGCGGGAUGAAGGCCCUCGGGUUGUAAACCGCUUUCAGCAGGGACGAGGCGCAAGUGACGGUACCUGCAGAAGAAGCCCCGGCUAACUACGUGCCAGCAGCCGCGGUAAUACGUAGGGGGCGAGCGUUAUCCGGAUUCAUUGGGCGUAAAGCGCGCGUAGGCGGCCCGUUAGGUCGGGAGUCAAAUCCGGGGGCUCAACCCCCGUCCGCUCCCGAUACCGGCGGGCUUGAGUCUGGUAGGGGAAGGUGGAAUUCCAAGUGUAGCGGUGGAAUGCGCAGAUAUUUGGAAGAACACCGGUGGCGAAGGCGGGCCUUCUGGGCCACGACUGACGCUGAGGCGCGAAAGCUAGGGGAGCGAACAGGGAUUAGAUACCCCGGUAGUCCUAGCCGUAAACGAUGGGCACUAGUGUGGGGGGGGACGAUCCCCUCCGUGCCGCAGCUAACGCAUUAAGGUGCCUCCCGCCUGGGGGAGUACGGCCGCAAAGGCCUAAACUCA
RNAcentral lists this ribosomal RNA (889 nucleotides) under uncultured bacterium. RNAcentral's name for it is "bacterial SSU rRNA". It matches the Rfam family "Bacterial small subunit ribosomal RNA", at positions 8 to 903 of the family's 1533-position model. The record is from RNAcentral.